CCUACAUACUAUACAUUACGUGCACAAACAUGUUUUAUUCUUGUUUUGCUGACACCAUGAUACUCAGCAUGCAUUUCCUGCCUAACCACAAUACUAUUUCCAUACCUAAGGGCAUUAAACAACUCCCUAUCACCUUCAAACUCCUAGCUAAAAAACUAUCAAUCCCAUAUCAAGUCAGGGUUCUCUCUUUGCACUAAUUGUUAUAUCUCUUUAGAUUAUUUUAAUCUAAAAGAUUUCCCUCACCUGAAGAAAGCUAGCUAGUUAUAUUAUAGAAUGUCUUGUAUUUUGGGCUUAGUUCAUUGUUUCCUUGUGUCAUGUAACUUUCUUUCCUAUCUUGGUUCAGUUAUCAAUAGAUUGAAAGAUUCCCUUUCUCCAGAUUUAAAAAGAAAGGAACAAAGACAGAAGAGGUUGGAGGCAGAAAGAAGGUAAGCGACCUACUGUUUCAUCCUUCAGUCCGCUGAACAUGUAAUCUUUUGGAUCAACCUGCAGGGACAAAGCACAAGACCUUGAGUAUUGUUAACAUUAUUCACCAAAAACAAACAGGGAUUCUCUGUGGAUCUGCUCUUUCUGCUAUCAAAUUUCAUGCCUGGGCAUGCAAAGCUAAAAGAAAGCCUGUGUGACUCUAAGAUUUGGGUCUUCCUGCGAGUUAACCCAGAACCUUCAUCCAGCAACUGAUGGAAGAUGCAGAGAUCCACGGUGAAGCACUGGGC
Arvicola amphibius (Eurasian water vole) is the source of this 710-nucleotide long non-coding RNA. RefSeq lists it as uncharacterized. NCBI's taxonomy places the organism in Eukaryota, Metazoa, Chordata, Mammalia, Rodentia, Cricetidae. The record is from RefSeq and is a predicted model, not a curated record. The transcript is spliced from 4 exons.